GGGCCCUUAGCUCAGCCGGUUAGAGCAGCGGACUCAUAAUCCGUAGGUCGUGGGUUCAAGUCCCACAGGGCCCA
RNAcentral lists this transfer RNA (74 nucleotides) under Gemmatimonadota bacterium. RNAcentral's name for it is "tRNA-Ile". It matches the Rfam family "tRNA". From Rfam's summary of the family: Transfer RNA (tRNA) molecules are approximately 80 nucleotides in length. The record is from RNAcentral. Lineage: Bacteria; Pseudomonadati; Gemmatimonadota.